AGAGUUUGAUCCUGGCUCAGAUUGAGCGCUGGCGGAAUGCUUUACACAUGCAAGUCGAACGGCAGCACGGACUUCGGUCUGGUGGCGAGUGGCGAACGGGUGAGUAACAUAUCGGAACGUAUCCAAUAAUGGGGGAUAACUAAUCGAAAGGUUGGCUAAUACCGCAUACGCCCUACGGGGGAAAGCUAGGGACCUUCGGGCCUGGCGUUAAUGGAGCGGCCGAUAUCUGAUUAGCUAGUUGGUGGGGUAAAGGCCCACCAAGGCGACGAUCAGUAGCUGGUCUGAGAGGACGACCAGCCACACUGGAACUGAGACACGGUCCAGACUCCUACGGGAGGCAGCGGUGGGGAAUUUUGGACAAUGGGCGCAAGCCUGAUCCAGCCAUUCCGCGUGAGUGAAGAAGGCCUUCGGGUUGUAAAGC
Molecule: ribosomal RNA, 421 nt
Filed under: uncultured bacterium
Lineage: Bacteria
Description: bacterial SSU rRNA
Rfam family: Bacterial small subunit ribosomal RNA
Source: RNAcentral